Molecule: microRNA precursor, 103 nt
Filed under: Marmota monax (woodchuck)
Lineage: Eukaryota; Metazoa; Chordata; Mammalia; Rodentia; Sciuridae
Source: RNAcentral
AGUGGGAUAACUGGAUCAAAUGAUGGAUCCAUUCCAAGUUUUCUGAGGAAUUGCCAUACUGCUUUCCAGAGUGGUUGCAUCAAUUUAUAGUCCCACCAGCAAU